CCUGAAGGCGCCGGAUCUCGUCUGAUCUCGGAAGCUAAGCAGG
Molecule: ribosomal RNA, 43 nt
Organism: Bison bison bison
Lineage: Eukaryota; Metazoa; Chordata; Mammalia; Artiodactyla; Bovidae
Source: Ensembl